RNAcentral lists this long non-coding RNA (758 nucleotides) under Malus domestica (apple). RNAcentral's name for it is "long non-coding RNA (MDOM_LNC015580)". Lineage: Eukaryota; Viridiplantae; Streptophyta; Magnoliopsida; Rosales; Rosaceae. The record is from RNAcentral.
AAAUAAUCAUGUGAUUAAUAACUCAUACUAGUACGCAAGUUGGAGUCACCUAUGGUGACCUGUACGACUUACCCAUAUCUCAUCACAUAUACUAGUUCAUCACAUAUUUCAUCACAUAUGCUAGCUCACAUAUCUCAUCAUAUAUGCUAGCUUAUCACAUAUGCUAGCUCAUCACAUAUUCAUCACAUAUGCUAGCUUAUAACAUAUUCAUCAAACAUGCUAGCUUAUCACAUAUUCAUCACAUAUGCUAGCUUAUCCCAUAUUUCAUCAUAUAAGCUAGUUCAUCACAUAUUCAUCAUAUAUGCUAGCUUAUCACAUAUCUCAUCACAUAUGUUAAUGACCUGUACGACUUAUCCAUAGCUCAAUAAGUAUACCUGCACACGAGUCGGAACCACCUAAAGUGGUAUGUAUGACAGGACUAGGUGUAAAUAAAUACGCUCAAGUGCUACGAUCAUGUGAAGAUUGUGCGAAUAAUCGUAGGUCACCUACGAGUCGGAACCAGCUAUAGUGGUCUGUAUGACAGAACUAUGCACCUACCUUAGUUCCAAGGUGAGCGUAAGGUGCGGGAGGUGAACAUCACGUGAAGGACUAUGCCCUGGCCACGGGCGGGAGCACUAACACCGGGGUGCAGGUUUAUAAGCUCUCAAUGCAUGUCACAUGUAUGAUUCAUGAGCGACCCGUACGAUAGUGUCGGGGUUGCUUAAGACAUAAUAUAGUCAUGCCAUAACCCCAUCAUGUCAACUAAUACCAUAAACUCA